GACGAACGCUGGCGGCGUGCUUAACACAUGCAAGUCGAACGAAGAGCGAUGGACGUUUGCUUCUUUCCGUCUUCGUGGCGCACGUGUGAGUAACGCGUAAUCCACCUGUCUUUCAGAGGGGUACAACAGUUGGAAACGACUGCUAAUCCCGCAUACUAUCCAAUCUCGUCAUCCGGUCUUGAUGAACGGUUUCCUCUAUUUAUAAGCUUUCACUCACGCCGGGGAUUGCGGCUGAUUAGCUAGUUGGUUGGGUAACGGCCCAACAAUGGGAUGAUCAGGAGGCGGUCUGGGAGGAGGAACCGCCCACAUGGGAAUGGGAAACGGCCCCGACUCCUAAGGGGAGGAGCAGGGAGGAAUCUUCCGGAAUGGACGAAAGGCUGAAGGGGGAAAGCCGGGGGAGGGAUGAAGGGCUUCGGGUUGUAAAGCUCCGUUAAUCGGGAAGAAAGGUAUUUGUGAGAAUAGAGCGAGGAUUUGACGGUACCGGAAUAGAAAGCCACGGCUAACUACGUG
Molecule: ribosomal RNA, 510 nt
Filed under: uncultured bacterium
Lineage: Bacteria
Description: partial 16S ribosomal RNA
Rfam family: Bacterial small subunit ribosomal RNA
Source: RNAcentral